This 497-nucleotide ribosomal RNA is filed under the name uncultured bacterium. Its description in RNAcentral is "partial 16S ribosomal RNA". It matches the Rfam family "Bacterial small subunit ribosomal RNA", at positions 28 to 507 of the family's 1533-position model. The record is from RNAcentral.
GACGAACGCUGGCGGCGUGCCUAAUACAUGCAAGUUGAGCGCUGAAGGUUGGUACUUGUACCAACUGGAUGAGCAGCGAACGGGUGAGUAACGCGUGGGGAAUCUGCCUUUGAGCGGGGGACAACAUUUGGAAACGAAUGCUAAUACCGCAUAAAAACUUUAAACACAAGUUUUAAGUUUGAAAGAUGCAAUUGCAUCACUCAAAGAUGAUCCCGCGUUGUAUUAGCUAGUUGGUGAGGUAAAGGCUCACCAAGGCGAUGAUACAUAGCCGACCUGAGAGGGUGAUCGGCCACAUUGGGACUGAGACACGGCCCAAACUCCUACGGGAGGCAGCAGUAGGGAAUCUUCGGCAAUGGACGAAAGUCUGACCGAGCAACGCCGCGGGAGGGAAGAAGGGUUUCGGACCGGAAAACUCGGUUGGUAGAGAAGAACGUUGGUGAGAGUGGAAAGCUCAUCAAGUGACGGUAACUACCCAGAAAGGGACGGCUAACUACGUG